This 567-nucleotide ribosomal RNA is filed under the name uncultured Exiguobacterium sp. RNAcentral's name for it is "bacterial SSU rRNA". It matches the Rfam family "Bacterial small subunit ribosomal RNA", at positions 906 to 1478 of the family's 1533-position model. Lineage: Bacteria; Bacillati; Bacillota; Bacilli; Caryophanales. The record is from RNAcentral.
GGAAUUGACGGGGACCCGCACAAGCGGUGGAGCAUGUGGUUUAAUUCGAAGCAACGCGAAGAACCUUACCAACUCUUGACAUCCCCCUGACCGGUACAGAGAUGUGCCUUCCCCUUCGGGGGCAGGGGUGACAGGUGGUGCAUGGUUGUCGUCAGCUCGUGUCGUGAGAUGUUGGGUUAGGUCCCGCAACGAGCGCAACCCUUGUCCUUAGUUGCCAGCAUUCAGUUGGGCACUCUAAGGAGACUGCCGGUGACAAACCGGAGGAAGGUGGGGAUGACGUCAAAACAUCAUGCCCCUUAUGAGUUGGGCUACACACGUGCUACAAUGGACGGUACAAAGGGCAGCGAAGCCGCGAGGUGGAGCCAAUCCCAGAAAGCCGUUCUCAGUUCGGAUUGCAGGCUGCAACUCGCCUGCAUGAAGUCGGAAUCGCUAGUAAUCGCAGGUCAGCAUACUGCGGUGAAUACGUUCCCGGGUCUUGUACACACCGCCCGUCACACCACGAGAGUUUGCAACACCCGAAGUCGGUGAGUAACCGUAAGGAGCCAGCCGCCGAAGUGGCAGUNUUGG